RNAcentral lists this long non-coding RNA (334 nucleotides) under Helianthus annuus (common sunflower). RNAcentral's name for it is "sRNA HanXRQr2_Chr09g0377451". The record is from RNAcentral. Lineage: Eukaryota; Viridiplantae; Streptophyta; Magnoliopsida; Asterales; Asteraceae.
GAGGUGACCCCUAAGCAUACUGAACUGUUACACUUUGAGGAAUAAGGCAGACAAAAGGGCAUAGGUCUAUGGGACAGGGGCGUUGUUGUGUCAUCAACACUUGGUGGCAUAAUAGAACUACAUUCAGAUGAUGAUAUUUCUGAUUACUGUAAUAGAAAUAUUACACUUGGUGCUUGAGUUAGUGACAUUGGUUUAGUUGUCCGUAUGAUUGACAGUAUUGCUGGGUCAACACCAGAUUAGGCACUUCUUUAAAAAUGGUUGGAGUUCAGAGCAUGUGCUUUUGCUUACAAUUACUAACUGGAGUACAUCAAUUCUGCGUACUACUCCAUGUUAA